CUACGGACUUAAUUGGAUUGAGCCUUGGUAUGGAAACUUACUAAGUGAUAACUUUCAAAUUCAGAGAAACCCUGGAAUUAAUAAAAAUGGGCAAUCCUGAGCCAAAUCACGUUUUCCGAAAACAAACAAAGGUUCAGAAAGCGAAAAUAAAAAGGAUAGGUGCAGAGACUCGAUGGAAGCUGUUCUAACGAAUGGAGUUGAUUGUCUUACAUUGGUAGAGGAAUCCUUCUAUCGAAACUUCAGAAAAGAGGAAGGAUAAACCUGUAUACAUAGAAGAAUUGGUAUGAAUCGAUUCCAUAUUGAAGAAAGAAUCAAAUAUUCAUUGAUCAAAGCAUUCACGCAUAAUCUGAUAGAUCUUUUGAAUAACUGAUGAAAUCGGACGAGAAUAAAGAUAGAGUCCCGUUCUACAUGUCAAUACCGG
Molecule: non-coding RNA, 421 nt
Filed under: Helianthus annuus (common sunflower)
Lineage: Eukaryota; Viridiplantae; Streptophyta; Magnoliopsida; Asterales; Asteraceae
Description: Group I catalytic intron
Rfam family: Group I catalytic intron
About the family: Group I catalytic introns are large self-splicing ribozymes. They catalyse their own excision from mRNA, tRNA and rRNA precursors in a wide range of organisms.
Source: RNAcentral